CGAUAAAGUCGACACAAGGGAGAGACUGCUCAAAACAGCCUCCGCCCGCUUGAGAAAACUCCCGACGCGCGCCAAACAACCAUGUAGCAGCGUUGUUUGGUCAGCUAAAGCAGACUACAACAUCACAUCGGGCGGGGUUUCCGAGCCAACGAUAGCAGAGACCACAAACGCCCAAGACCUAUGGCGAAGCAUCUUGGAGCAU
Molecule: long non-coding RNA, 202 nt
Filed under: Hordeum vulgare
Lineage: Eukaryota; Viridiplantae; Streptophyta; Magnoliopsida; Poales; Poaceae
Description: long non-coding RNA (HVUL_LNC004733)
Source: RNAcentral